CCUACGGGUGGCAGCAGUGGGGAAUAUUGGACAAUGGGCGAAAGCCUGAUCCAGCCAUGCCGCGUGUGUGAAGAAGGCCUUCGGGUUGUAAAGCACUUUCAGUGGGGAAGAAAGCCUUGGGGCGAAUACCCUCGAGGAAGGACAUCACCCACAGAAGAAGCACCGGCUAACUCCGUGCCAGCAGCCGCGGUAAUACGGAGGGUGCGAGCGUUAAUCGGAAUUACUGGGCGUAAAGCGCGCGUAGGCGGUCUGAUAAGCCGGUUGUGAAAGCCCCGGGCUCAACCUGGGAACGGCAUCCGGAACUGUCAGGCUAGAGUGCAGGAGAGGAAGGUAGAAUUCCCGGUGUAGCGGUGAAAUGCGUAGAGAUCGGGAGGAAUACCAGUGGCGAAGGCGGCCUUCUGGACUGACACUGACGCUGAGGUGCGAAAGCGUGGGUAGCAAACAGGAUUAGAUACCCCGGUAGUC
This 465-nucleotide ribosomal RNA is filed under the name Vreelandella stevensii. Its description in RNAcentral is "partial 16S ribosomal RNA". It matches the Rfam family "Bacterial small subunit ribosomal RNA", at positions 338 to 795 of the family's 1533-position model. Lineage: Bacteria; Pseudomonadati; Pseudomonadota; Gammaproteobacteria; Oceanospirillales; Halomonadaceae. The record is from RNAcentral.